ACUCCUACGGGAGGCAGCAGUGGGGAAUAUUGGACAAUGGGCGCAAGCCUGAUCCAGCCAUGCCGCGUGAGUGAUGAAGGCCCUAGGGUUGUAAAGCUCUUUCACCGGUGAAGAUAAUGACGGUAACCGGAGAAGAAGCCCCGGCUAACUUCGUGCCAGCAGCCGCGGUAAUACGAAGGGGGCUAGCGUUGUUCGGAUUUACUGGGCGUAAAGCGCACGUAGGCGGACUAUUAAGUCAGGGGUGAAAUCCCGGGGCUCAACCCCGGAACUGCCUUUGAUACUGGUAGUCUUGAGUUCGAGAGAGGUGAGUGGAAUUCCGAGUGUAGAGGUGAAAUUCGUAGAUAUUCGGAGGAACACCAGUGGCGAAGGCGGCUCACUGGCUCGAUACUGACGCUGAGGUGCGAAAGCGUGGGGAGCAAACAGGAUUAGAAACCCGAGUAGUCCC
Molecule: ribosomal RNA, 445 nt
Filed under: uncultured organism
Description: partial 16S ribosomal RNA
Rfam family: Bacterial small subunit ribosomal RNA
Source: RNAcentral